RNAcentral lists this ribosomal RNA (771 nucleotides) under uncultured Neocallimastigales. Its description in RNAcentral is "partial large subunit ribosomal RNA". It matches the Rfam family "Eukaryotic large subunit ribosomal RNA", at positions 18 to 640 of the family's 3401-position model. The record is from RNAcentral. Lineage: Eukaryota; Fungi; Neocallimastigomycota; Neocallimastigomycetes; Neocallimastigales.
UCAGACGAUGCGUCAUGCAUAUCAAUAAGCGGAGGAAAAGAAACUAACAAGGAUUCCCUCAGUAACGGCGAGUGAAGCGGGAAGAGCUCUAAUUUGAAAUCUUGAAAGGUCACCUUUCACGAAUUGUAGUUUAAAGAAGUGUUUUCUGUUACGAUCGUAAUAUAAGUUCUUUGGAAUAGGACAUCACGGAGGGUGAGAAUCCCGUCUAUGAUUGCGAUUUGUAGCUUUGUGAUACACUUUCAAAGAGUCGGGUUGUUUGGGAAUGCAGCCCAAAACGGGAGGUAAAUUUCUUCUAAGGCUAAAUAUUGGCGAGAGACCGAUAGCGAACAAGUACCGUGAGGGAAAGAUGAAAAGAACUUUGAAAAGAGAGUUAAAUAGUACGUGAAAUUGUCAAAAGGGAAGCGUUUAACACCAGUGUUGUUUUCUGAAAAUCAACCUCUGUUAGCUUUAUGCAUGUUUGUUUAGACCUAAUCAGCUAUCUUGCAUGUUCUAUUGUUUGCAGUGGUGCACUUUUCAGUUUACAGGUCAACAUCAGUUUUUUUUACCGUAAAAAAGUUAAAGAAAGGUAGCUCAUGGCUCCGGUCGUGAGUGUUAUAGUCUUUUUCCUAUGCGGUAGGAGAGACUGAGGUCUGCAGUGUAGGCUAUUUGGCUAGAUACUCAGGUGCUAUGUGAUACCAUUUCAUAAACAACUUGUUGAUUAUGUUUUGUCUAUUGCAUACUCGCUUGUACUAUCAUACCUACGCUUAGGAUGUUGAAGACUCUACAGAGAUA